AGUCGGUGGCGAAGACUGGGCGGUUGCUGAUCAGCCAUGAAGCUCCCUUGACAGGAGGAUUUGCCUCUGAAAUCAGUUCUACAGUUCAGGAGGAAUGCUUUUUGAAUUUAGAAGCUCCGAUUUCAAGAGUAUGUGGCUAUGACACUCCUUUCCCUCACAUCUUUGAGCCUUUCUACAUCCCAGACAAAUGGAAAUGCUAUGAUGCACUUCGAAAGAUGAUUAACUACUGAGAAGUAGUACAGAGAUGAGAAUAACAACGGGGAAGUACAGAAGCUGCCUUCAAAACUCUUGACACUUUACUCAGAUCUUUUUGGUUUGGAGUUCACAUAACAGACUGUUUUCUCUGAACUCAACUAUUCUUAUUAUUCAUCUUGGCUAUUCUUCAGAAAGUUCAAAUCUUCGUUAAUUAUGAAAUCAGUGAUGGGCAGUUGAUUGCUAAAAUAAGUAGUUUCAGAUGUAUUUAAAGAUAUUCCAGAUGCUGUAUGAAUGUUACACAUUGCCAUGCUUCACUAGGUUACAUCUCUAAACCUCACUGUGUAAAUAUUAGAAGCAGGAUUUUAUUCAAUAAAACAUAUUAU
Long non-coding RNA from Merops nubicus (carmine bee-eater), 578 nucleotides. RefSeq lists it as uncharacterized. The transcript is spliced from 3 exons. The record is from RefSeq and is a predicted model, not a curated record. Lineage: Eukaryota; Metazoa; Chordata; Aves; Coraciiformes; Meropidae.